This is a non-coding RNA of Strongylocentrotus purpuratus (purple sea urchin), 73 nucleotides long. The record is from Rfam. NCBI's taxonomy places the organism in Eukaryota, Metazoa, Echinodermata, Echinoidea, Camarodonta, Strongylocentrotidae.
UGCAUGGUGGCUCAGUGGUUAGAGCGCCCGCCUCAUCAACGGGAGGUCGUGGGUUCGAACCCCGGCCGAGUCA